Molecule: ribosomal RNA, 725 nt
Filed under: uncultured Bacillaceae bacterium
Lineage: Bacteria; Bacillati; Bacillota; Bacilli; Caryophanales; Bacillaceae
Description: bacterial SSU rRNA
Rfam family: Bacterial small subunit ribosomal RNA
Source: RNAcentral
AAUACAUGCAAGUCGAGCGGACAGAAGGGAGCUUGCUCCCGGACGUUAGCGGCGGACGGGUGAGUAACACGUAGGUAACCUGCCCCUUAGACUGGGAUAACUCCGGGAAACCGGAGCUAAUACGGGAUAAUAAAGAGAAUCACCUGAUUCUCUUUUGAAAGACGGUUUCGGCUGUCACUAGGGGAUGGGCCUGCGGCGCAUUAGCUAGUUGGUAAGGUAACGGCUUACCAAGGCGACGAUGCGUAGCCGACCUGAGAGGGUGAUCGGCCACACUGGGACUGAGACACGGCCCAGACUCCUACGGGAGGCAGCAGUAGGGAAUCUUCCGCAAUGGACGAAAGUCUGACGGAGCAACGCCGCGUGAGUGAGGAAGGCCUUCGGGUCGUAAAGCUCUGUUGUGAGGGAAGAACAAGUACCGGGGUAACUACCGGUACCUUGACGGUACCUCACCUGAAAGCCACGGCUAACUACGUGCCAGCAGCCGCGGUAAUACGUAGGUGGCAAGCGUUGUCCGGAAUUAUUGGGCGUAAAGCGCGCGCAGGCGGCUUCUUAAGUCUGAUGUGAGAUCUCGGGGCUCAACCCCGAGCGGCCAUUGGAAACUGGGAAGCUUGAGUGCAGAAGAGGAGAGUGGAAUUCCACGUGUAGCGGUGAAAUGCGUAGAUAUGUGGAGGAACACCAGUGGCGAAGGCGACUCUCUGGUCUGUAACUGACGCUGAGGCGCGAAA